GAUGAACGCUAGCUACAGGCUUAACACAUGCAAGUCGAGGGGCAGCAUGACCUAGCAAUAGGUUGAUGGCGACCGCGCACGGGUGAGUAACACGUAUCCAACCUACCGGUUAUUCCGGGAUAGCCUUUCGAAAGAAAGAUUAAUACCGGAUAGUAUAACGAGAAGGCAUCUUUUUGUUAUUAAAGAAUUUCGAUAACCGAUGGGGAUGCGUUCCAUUAGUUUGUUGGCGGGGUAACGGCCCACCAAGACAUCGAUGGAUAGGGGUUCUGAGAGGAAGGUCCCCCACAUUGGAACUGAGACACGGUCCAAACUCCUACGGGAGGCAGCAGUGAGGAAUAUUGGUCAAUGGACGAGAGUCUGAACCAGCCAAGUAGCGUGAAGGAUGACUGCCCUAUGGGUUGUAAACUUCUUUUAUAUGGGAAUAAAGUGAGCCACGUGUGGCUUUUUGUAUGUACCAUACGAAUAAGGAUCGGCUAACUCCGUG
RNAcentral lists this ribosomal RNA (484 nucleotides) under uncultured bacterium. RNAcentral describes it as "bacterial SSU rRNA". It matches the Rfam family "Bacterial small subunit ribosomal RNA", at positions 28 to 507 of the family's 1533-position model. The record is from RNAcentral.